UCCCGGAAACAAAAAAUCACCCAACGGGGGGCUCGAACCCCCGACCACACGAUUAAGA
This 58-nucleotide transfer RNA is filed under the name uncultured eukaryote. The record is from RNAcentral.